GGCUGCGGCGGGGGAGCCUCCUGCCGCGGAGGUGGCUGCGGCGUCUGUGCGGCCGUUUCCGUUUCCGGUGCCGCGGGCCGUUGCGCUGCUGUGUCUGACCUACACUGGGGCCAAGCUGGACGUCAGCAGCAGCGUCACCCCUGGCCUGACGGGGGCGCUGCGAAAAACAAAAACAUUGUGCCUGCAGCAGCUGGUGGACGCAGUGGGGCCGACGCUGAGCGAUGCCCUGGCCCUGGGCUCACUGCUUGGGCUGCAUUCGGUCCGGGUGGCGGGGAGGCUCCUGGAGCUGUGGAGCCAAAGGCUGACUGGGGAAGAGAAGAGCCUCGUCACGGAAUACAGCCAGAAGAUGAUACCGGACCCUGCAGACCCGUUUCCAGAGAUCUACCUGAGUCCGGGGCUAGGGGACCUCACCGCCCCCCUGCUAGCCACGACACGCCCCGAUCAACUGACUUUACAUGAAGCGGGCAAAAAGACAUGGUAUUUUAACUGCGUGAAGGUCACAAACAGGACUGGACUGUGCAACAGGCUCCCCACUGUGUGGUCCAACAGACUUGGACAAAAUGGACCUGGCCCGCAGUGGAGGAUUUUAUACAAACCUCCCCUCAAAAAACGGACUGCCGACCUCCAGUGGAGAAUUUUACAUGUCUGUCCAGGCUCAUCACCACUGGAGGAGCGAAGUCCUGCGCGUCCCUGGUCCACUGGUUCGGACGUCUGACUGCCAGUUGCCCUCGGCUGCUGCUGCUGCUGCUUCUAGUGUGUCUGCUGCUAGUGGUGCGUCUGCUGCUACACUACACUGCUG
This is a long non-coding RNA of Gasterosteus aculeatus aculeatus (three-spined stickleback), 799 nucleotides long. The record is from Ensembl. Lineage: Eukaryota; Metazoa; Chordata; Actinopteri; Perciformes; Gasterosteidae.